RNAcentral lists this ribosomal RNA (469 nucleotides) under uncultured bacterium. RNAcentral's name for it is "partial 16S ribosomal RNA". It matches the Rfam family "Bacterial small subunit ribosomal RNA", at positions 28 to 507 of the family's 1533-position model. The record is from RNAcentral.
GACGAACGCUGGCGGCGUGCUUAACACAUGCAAGUCGAACGGAAAGGCCCUGCUUGCAGGGUGCUCGAGUGGCGAACGGGUGAGUAACACGUGGGUGAUCUGCCCCUUACUUUGGGGUAAGCCUGGGAAACUGGGUCUAAUACUGGAUAGGACCAUGCUGUAGGUGGUGUGGUGGAAAGAUUAGUUUCGGUAAGGGAUGAGCUCGCGGCCUAUCAGCUUGUUGGUGGGGUAAUGGCCUACCAAGGCGUCGACGGGUAGCCGGCCUGAGAGGGUGGACGGCCACAUUGGGACUGAGAUACGGCCCAGACUCCUACGAGAGGCAGCAGUGGGGAAUAUUGCACAAUGGGCGCAAGCCUGAUGCAGCGACGCCGCGUGGGGGAUGACGGCCUUCGGGUUGUAAACUCCUUUCAGCCAUGACGAAGCCCUUGUGGUGACGGUAGUGGUAGAAGAAGCACCGGCUAACUACGUG